Molecule: transfer RNA, 75 nt
Filed under: Candidatus Harrisonbacteria bacterium RIFCSPLOWO2_02_FULL_41_13b
Lineage: Bacteria; Candidatus Harrisoniibacteriota
Description: tRNA-Pro
Rfam family: tRNA
About the family: Transfer RNA (tRNA) molecules are approximately 80 nucleotides in length. Their secondary structure includes four short double-helical elements and three loops (D, anti-codon, and T loops). Further hydrogen bonds mediate the characteristic L-shaped molecular structure. tRNAs have two regions of fundamental functional importance: the anti-codon, which is responsible for specific mRNA codon recognition, and the 3' end, to which the tRNAs corresponding amino acid is attached (by aminoacyl-tRNA synthetases). tRNAs cope with the degeneracy of the genetic code in two manners: having more than one tRNA (with a specific anti-codon) for a particular amino acid; and 'wobble' base-pairing, i.e. permitting non-standard base-pairing at the 3rd anti-codon position.
Source: RNAcentral
CGGGACGUGGUGUAACAGCAACAUGCACGAUUCGGGUUCGUGCGAUUCCGGGUGCAAAUCCCGGCGUCCCGACAA